GCACAAGCGGUGGAUGAUGUGGAUUAAUUCGAUGCAACGCGAAAACCUUACCUACCCUUGACAUGUCUGGAACCUUGCUGAGAGGCGAGGGUGCCUUCGGGAGCCAGAACACAGGUGCUGCAUGGCUGUCGUCAGCUCGUGUCGUGAGAUGUUGGGUUAAGUCCCGCAACGAGCGCAACCCUUGUCACUAGUUGCCACCAUUCAGUUGGGCACUCUAGUGAGACUGCCGGUGACAAACCGGAGGAAGGUGGGGAUGACGUCAAGUCCUCAUGGCCCUUAUGGGUAGGGCUUCACACGUCAUACAAUGGUCGGUACAGAGGGUUGCCAAACCGCGAGGUGGAGCCAAUCCCUUAAAGCCGAUCGUAGUCCGGAUCGUAGUCUGCAACUCGACUACGUGAAGUCGGAAUCGCUAGUAAUCGUGGAUCAGAAUGUCACGGUGAAUACGUUCCCGGGUCUU
RNAcentral lists this ribosomal RNA (457 nucleotides) under uncultured Thauera sp. RNAcentral's name for it is "bacterial SSU rRNA". It matches the Rfam family "Bacterial small subunit ribosomal RNA", at positions 923 to 1382 of the family's 1533-position model. The record is from RNAcentral. Lineage: Bacteria; Pseudomonadati; Pseudomonadota; Betaproteobacteria; Rhodocyclales; Zoogloeaceae.